This 2140-nucleotide long non-coding RNA is filed under the name Brassica napus (rape). Its description in RNAcentral is "long non-coding RNA (BNAP_LNC002143)". The record is from RNAcentral. Lineage: Eukaryota; Viridiplantae; Streptophyta; Magnoliopsida; Brassicales; Brassicaceae.
UAAUAUCUUCUUCAACCACCAGCGGUACAACAACAUUCAAAUCAGUUUUAGCCAAACAAUCGGCCAUAACAUUUCUUUCUCGUGGAAUCCACACGAAGCAUACAUACUCAAAGGCUUCAGCAAGCUUGAGAAUAUCUGAAAAUAUGCCAUAUAAGCCAGCUCCCGAGUUCAACACCUUCACCAGGGUUUGUGAAUCAGAUUCGAUCCGUACCUUCUUCAGCUCCUUUCGUUGGCAAGUAAGCACCGCUUCCCUUACCGCUAGUCCCUCAGCUAUCAAGGGCGUCUGCACUCGCUCAGUUAUAUACUUAUAUUAGAUACGAAUCCUGAUCCUUUUCAAAGAGAUUUUUACUUCUUUUUUUUUUUAAUUCAACGUCGUCUUUAUUUUUUUUUUUGUAACUUAAAUUACAAAAAAUACUUCAAAUAGAAUAACCGAGUAGGUAAUAAUAUGUUUUUUUUUUUAACUUAAAUUAUAUGUUUUUUUGCCAAACAACUUAAACUAUAUGUUUAUUCCUUCAAAAAUAAUAGGGAUGAUCAAUGUACUUCAUUGUAGUGUUUCUAUUUCCAAAUUAUAUGGAGAUAUAAUGGUUCCUAAUGGUGACUGCAGGUUGAGCGGUGCGGAACAAGCGGUUUAAUUGCGGUGCGGUUUUAACAAUUAUAAACAUGUAUAGAUAUAGAGUAUAUAUAUAGAUUUUUGUUACUGCUAAUUGCGGGGCGGGGCGGGAAGCUGGUUACCAUUCGAAGCCAAUAGUAAGUUCGUAAAUAUAAGAAAAUCGAUUAAAUUUCAAGUUUCUUUUAUUAAUAACUAGAGUAUAACAUGUGUCAUGCUCAGUUAACUUUCAUUGAUUAAUUAAACACUUGUUUUAUUUUAUAGAUUGUUUAAGUUCGUUUUUAUAUUUUCUUGAAGGAUGUAGAUCGUUGAUGGGAUCUGAAAGUCCAAUAUAAGUUUUUGUAUAUGAAGUGUCAGCCAAAAGUUCAUAUCAGCUAUAACUCUAAAUGAAUCAUCCCUGUAGUAAUAAUUUUAAUCUUAAUUUUUCAUCCAGUUUUAAUCGGUUUGAAAUCUCUUAUAAAUAUUUUAUAUAAUAAAAUUUAAUGAUUUAGAUGAACCCGUGUUUGAUAGUUCAAAACUAAAAUAUAAUAUAUGAAAUCAAGAAUACGAUUCUAAUUUAAUAGAAUAGAUAUAUUUUAAUAUUUUAUAUUUAUUUCAAAUAUAAAUGAAUAUUUUUUUCUUAAAAAAAAGAAACAAAAUUUUUUAAAUUUUUUAUUUCCCAAAUGAAUUAAUUUAAAUUGAAAUUAUCAGUAAAAUAUAUUUAUAAUAUUUUAUUUGAUUUUAAUCUAUAUUUAUAACUUAAAACUGAACUAAUUCUAAUUUCUAACUAUAUUUAUUGAUAAUUAAAAUUUAAAUUAGUUAAUCACGAAAAUAAAUUGCAAAAAAAAAAAAAGAUGUUCUUAGAAUUUUAAAAGGAAAGUUGUUAAUUUGUAUUUUAAAUAAAAAACUAAUAUAUUGAAUGAUAUUGUAAUUAAAUUAUGUGUAAUUUGAUAACUUUUCUAAGGGAAUGUCCAAAUAAAAAACCACACAUAAAAAAAUCAUAAGACUCUAAUUUAAUAGAUUAGAUAAUAAAUUCAUACCACUGAUAUGCAAUAACUAGAAAAUAUUUCAUUACUAAAAGAAACUCAAAUGAGUGGAAACGAAAAAGAAGCAAAUGUUCUUAUGUGAAGUCUUCAACUCCAAUAGCAUCAAAAGUCCAUAUUCCGAUCUUUAUAUCCUCCGCUCUAGACUUGAUUAACGUUGAAGAAUUUGCUGAUCCCCAGUAUCUUUUCCCCUGAUUGUUCCAACAUCAAGUUAGUUAAAAAAACAUAAAGAUUAAAUAAAACGUUCACAUUUAUUGAUAUGCAAUAACUAGAACAUUCACAUAUAUUGUUCAUCGUUUACUCAGAUCAUACCUAGAGCAUCAAUUUCCAGCAGCGAAGUCUCUAGAUUUUGUUCCUUUAUCUCGAGCUCCGACCGAAACUGUCUUACAUCUGUUAAAGUGUGCACAAUACUCUGUCUCACCUUACUCACUUGAUCAGAGAUUGAGCAAGGUUCAAGUGGUUUCUUGUGCUGCAAGUUUGCUGGACCAACACUUAAUUUGUUUGAUGCCCU